UACGUAGGUGGCAAGCGUUGUCCGGAUUUACUGGGCGUAAAGGGCGUGCAGGCGGUCUGUUAAGUGCAGGGUGAAAGCUCCCGGCUCAACUGGGAGAGGUCCUUGCAUACUGGCGGACUUGAGGGGGGUAGAGGAAAGUGGAAUUCCCGGUGUAGUGGUGAUAUGCGUAGAUAUCGGGAGGAACACCUGCGGCGAAGGCGGCUUUCUGGGCCCUACCUGACGCUGAGACGCGAAAGCGUGGGGAGCGAACCGG
RNAcentral lists this ribosomal RNA (253 nucleotides) under uncultured bacterium. RNAcentral's name for it is "partial 16S ribosomal RNA". It matches the Rfam family "Bacterial small subunit ribosomal RNA", at positions 524 to 776 of the family's 1533-position model. The record is from RNAcentral.